Molecule: ribosomal RNA, 484 nt
Filed under: uncultured bacterium
Lineage: Bacteria
Description: partial 16S ribosomal RNA
Rfam family: Bacterial small subunit ribosomal RNA
Source: RNAcentral
AUUGAACGCUGGCGGCAGGCCUAACACAUGCAAGUCGAGCGGAUGAAGGGAGCUUGCUCCUGGAUUCAGCGGCGGACGGGUGAGUAAUGCCUAGGAAUCUGCCUGGUAGUGGGGGAUAACGUCCGGAAACGGGCGCUAAUACCGCAUACGUCCUGAGGGAGAAAGUGGGGGAUCUUCGGACCUCACGCUAUCAGAUGAGCCUAGGUCGGAUUAGCUAGUUGGUGGGGUAAAGGCCUACCAAGGCGACGAUCCGUAACUGGUCUGAGAGGAUGAUCAGUCACACCGGAACUGAGACACGGUCCAGACUCCUGCGGGAGGCAGCAGUGGGGAAUAUUGGACAAUGGGCGAAAGCCUGAUCCAGCCAUGCCGCGUGUGUGAAGAAGGUCUUCGGAUUGUAAAGCACUUUAAGUUGGGAGGAAGGGCAGUAAGUUAAUACCUUGCUGUUUUGACGUUACCAACAGAAUAAGCACCGGCUAACUUCGUG